ACAGUCCCAGCCAGAAAGACUCGCGCAGAGGCCACCUGGAGCCCAUCCGCGCCUCCUGCUCCGCGCAGACCUUCCGGGGAAGAGUGGAGACGGAUUGGGGCCGCUGGCUGGCCAGUCCCUGCAGCUGGGGCUUUGCAAUCUGCCCACGUCGUUCUGGGCACAGGGACAAGAAUGAGAAAGGGACAGACAGUGCCUCCUGGAGCCCACAUUCCGGUGGGCGGAGGAAGGAGAACACGCUGGGUCAAGAUGGGUUCCUGCUGCAUUUCCACUGCCAGCUGGACCUCAUCCUAGACCUGGACCACAGCCUGCACCCGAGUCUGACCCUCUGCAACCACAGCAGGCCCUGGACAUAUGAUUUCUCCAG
Molecule: long non-coding RNA, 364 nt
Organism: Molossus molossus (Pallas's mastiff bat)
Lineage: Eukaryota; Metazoa; Chordata; Mammalia; Chiroptera; Molossidae
Exons: 3
Source: RefSeq, a predicted model, not a curated record